Molecule: ribosomal RNA, 429 nt
Filed under: uncultured bacterium
Lineage: Bacteria
Description: bacterial SSU rRNA
Rfam family: Bacterial small subunit ribosomal RNA
Source: RNAcentral
AUUGAACGCUGGCGGCAUGCUUUACACAUGCAAGUCGAACGGCAGCACGGGUGCUUGCACCUGGUGGCGAGUGGCGAACGGGUGAGUAAUGCAUCGGAACGUGCCCAUGAGUGGGGGAUAGCCCGGCGAAAGCCGGAUUAAUACCGCAUACGCCCUUAGGGGGAAAGCGGGGGAUCUUCGGACCUCGCGCUAUUGGAGCGGCCGAUGUCGGAUUAGCUAGUAGGUGAGGUAAAGGCUCACCUAGGCGACGAUCCGUAGCUGGUCUGAGAGGAUGAUCAGCCACACUGGGACUGAGACACGGCCCAGACUCCUACGGGAGGCAGCAGUGGGGAAUUUUGGACAAUGGGCGCAAGCCUGAUCCAGCCAUGCCGCGUGAGUGAAGAAGGCCUCGGUGUAAGACUCUUCUAGUGGAAGAAAGUAAGACGACGU